This 350-nucleotide ribosomal RNA is filed under the name Vibrio sp. RNAcentral's name for it is "bacterial SSU rRNA". It matches the Rfam family "Bacterial small subunit ribosomal RNA", at positions 567 to 916 of the family's 1533-position model. Lineage: Bacteria; Pseudomonadati; Pseudomonadota; Gammaproteobacteria; Vibrionales; Vibrionaceae. The record is from RNAcentral.
GCAUGCAGGUGGUUUGUUAAGUCAGAUGUGAAAGCCCGGGGCUCAACCUCGGAAUUGCAUUUGAAACUGGCAGACUAGAGUACUGUAGAGGGGGGUAGAAUUUCAGGUGUAGCGGUGAAAUGCGUAGAGAUCUGAAGGAAUACCGGUGGCGAAGGCGGCCCCCUGGACAGAUACUGACACUCAGAUGCGAAAGCGUGGGGAGCAAACAGGAUUAGAUACCCUGGUAGUCCACGCCGUAAACGAUGUCUACUUGGAGGUUGUGGCCUUGAGCCGUGGCUUUCGGAGCUAACGCGUUAAGUAGACCGCCUGGGGAGUACGGUCGCAAGAUUAAAACUCAAAGGAAUUGACGG